CGUAUGUAGUAAACUAAUAUUAAACAUAGUUAUACAUUUUAUUAACGAAUAUAUAACCUAUAAUGACAUGACAAAGGCGGCAUCAACCCGAUGUUUCCGGGAAUCAGUGGAAGCGGAAAUGGAGGCUGCACGGGCCCGUUCUGUAUGGGCGCCGGAAAUGGCGGCAGUGGAGGAGCCGGAAGAAGAUGUGGGAUGAUGGGCGGACCAAGGGGAGUGAGAGUUAAAUAUUGUAUUGGCGUCAGUUCCUGUUGUUACGGCUUGCCGGACACGAAAUUCGCCAUAGGUUGUCAAACUGUGACGUCAUCGAGCCAAGAAUUGCAGCUGGGAGAGGCAUCACCGUGGAACUAAUAUACAAAUGUCCGAUUUGCUCUUCGGAUAGAGGGAUGUCCUCUGGUUUCUCCGCAUCUCCGCCCAACAGGACACCAAAAUUACAUAUAUAGUGACAAUAACUUAAUUGCUGUAAAUUGCUGCUUUAAUUCGAAAUUCGACCAAACGUCCUUGGGUGUAGAAAGUAAAUGUAGUCACGGACGCGUAAAAACCUCAUACACUUUGAAAUGCAAAUUUACUCAUAUAUGAACAUUGGGACAUCGAUCCACAAAUAUCAAGUUGAUCUUCAAAAUGUGAGUUUUUGUCGUUUCGGUUUUUGUUAGAUAUUUUCAUAUUUUUUAAUUAUUAUACUGGCACUUUCCUUUUUAUUGUUAUACAUUUGUUCACAUAAACAAUUGAAACAACACAGUUCAAAAAUACGAAUCAAUGAAAAAAGUAAUAACAAAAAAUAUAAUAAUAAUUGUCAAAAGUAAAAUGUGUAAAAAGUAUAAUCUAUGAAAGUGUAAUUUGUAUAAUGCAUGAUUUCUAAAACGUAUAUAAUCUGUGAAAAUAAAUAUUUGUGAGA
This is a long non-coding RNA of Dreissena polymorpha, 892 nucleotides long. RefSeq lists it as uncharacterized. NCBI's taxonomy places the organism in Eukaryota, Metazoa, Mollusca, Bivalvia, Myida, Dreissenidae. The transcript is spliced from 2 exons. The record is from RefSeq and is a predicted model, not a curated record.